GUACCCCCUUAGCUCAGUUGGUUAGAGCAGACGGCUCAUAACCGUCUGGUCGUAGGUUCGAGACCUACAGGGUACA
RNAcentral lists this transfer RNA (76 nucleotides) under Enterococcus mundtii. RNAcentral describes it as "tRNA-Met". It matches the Rfam family "tRNA". Rfam says of the family: Transfer RNA (tRNA) molecules are approximately 80 nucleotides in length. The record is from RNAcentral. RNAcentral also lists the same sequence under 3 other names. Lineage: Bacteria; Bacillati; Bacillota; Bacilli; Lactobacillales; Enterococcaceae.